AGUAGGACGCACAGUUUAUACCGUAGCUUGCUACACCAUAGACUGUGAGUUGCGAACGGGUGAGUAACGCGUAGGUAACCUGCCUAUUAGAGGGGGAUAACUAUUGGAAACGAUAGCUAAUACCGCAUAACAGUAUGUAACACAUGUUAGAUGCUUGAAAGAUGCAAUUGCAUCGCUAGUAGAUGGACCUGCGUUGUAUUAGCUAGUAGGUAGGGUAAUGGCCUACCUAGGCGACGAUACAUAGCCGACCUGAGAGGGUGAUCGGCCACACUGGGACUGAGACACGGCCCAGACUCCUACGGGAGGCAGCAGUAGGGAAUCUUCGGCAAUGGGGGGAACCCUGACCGAGCAACGCCGCGUGAGUGAAGAAGGUUUUCGGAUCGUAAAGCUCUGUUGUUAAGGAAGAACGAGUGUGAGAAUGGAAAGUUCAUACUGUGACGGUACUUAACCAGAAAGGGACGGCUAACUACGUGCCAGCAGCCGCGGUAAUACGUAGGUCCCGAGCGUUGUCCGGAUUUAUUGGGCGUAAAGCGAGCGCAGGCGGUUAGAAAAGUCUGAAGUGAAAGGCAGUGGCUCAACCAUUGUAGGCUUUGGAAACUGUUUAACUUGAGUGCAGAAGGGGAGAGUGGAAUUCCAUGUGUAGCGGUGAAAUGCGUAGAUAUAUGGAGGAACACCGGUGGCGAAAGCGGCUCUCUGGUCUGUAACUGACGCUGAGGCUCGAAAGCGUGGGGAGCGAACAGGAUUAGAUACCCUGGUAGUCCACGCCGUAAACGAUGAGUGCU
This 782-nucleotide ribosomal RNA is filed under the name Streptococcus sp. HGH0340. RNAcentral describes it as "bacterial SSU rRNA". It matches the Rfam family "Bacterial small subunit ribosomal RNA", at positions 60 to 817 of the family's 1533-position model. The record is from RNAcentral. RNAcentral also lists the same sequence under 1 other name. Lineage: Bacteria; Bacillati; Bacillota; Bacilli; Lactobacillales; Streptococcaceae.